CCUGAUCCAGCCAUGCCGCGUGGGUGAAGAAGGCCUUCGGGUUGUAAAGCCCUUUUGUUGGGAAAGAAAUCCAGCCGGCUAAUACCUGGUUGGGAUGACGGUACCCAAAGAAUAAGCACCGGCUAACUUCGUGCCAGCAGCCGCGGUAAUACGAAGGGUGCAAGCGUUACUCGGAAUUACUGGGCGUAAAGCGUGCGUAGGUGGUUGUUUAAGUCUGUUGUGAAAGCCCUGGGCUCAACCUGGGAACUGCAGUGGAAACUGGACAACUAGAGUGUGGUAGAGGGUAGCGGAAUUCCCGGUGUAGCAGUGAAAUGCGUAGAGAUCGGGAGGAACAUCCAUGGCGAAGGCAGCUACCUGGACCAACACUGACACUGAGGCACGAAAGCGUGGGGAGCAAACAGGAUUAGAUACCCUGGUAGUCCACGCCCUAAACGAUGCGAACUGGAUGUUGGGUGCAAUUUGGCACGCAGUAUCGAAGCUAACGCGUUAAGUUCGCCGCCUGGGGAGUACGGUCGCAAGACUGAAACUC
This 529-nucleotide ribosomal RNA is filed under the name uncultured Stenotrophomonas sp. Its description in RNAcentral is "bacterial SSU rRNA". It matches the Rfam family "Bacterial small subunit ribosomal RNA", at positions 382 to 902 of the family's 1533-position model. The record is from RNAcentral. Lineage: Bacteria; Pseudomonadati; Pseudomonadota; Gammaproteobacteria; Lysobacterales; Lysobacteraceae.